AGGAUGAACGCUGGCGGCGUGCCUAACACAUGCAAGUCGAACGUCCUGUCUCGCAAGAGGCAGGGAGUGGCGGACGGGUGAGUACCACGUGGGUCAUCUACCGUGAGGUGAGGAAUACCGGCGAGAAAUCGCCGACAAGACCGCAUAGGCUCGAUGCAAGUCGAGCAAAGCUCUUUCGAGAGAGGGAGCGCCACACGAGGAGCCUGCGCCCGAUUAGCUAGCUGGUGGAGUAACGGUUCACCAGGGCGACGAUCGGUAGCUGGUCUGAGAGGACGAUCAGCCACACUGGGAUUGAGAACGGCCCAGACUCCUACGGGGGCAGCAGUGAGGAAUUUCGUCAAUGGGGGCAACCCUGAACGAGCAACGCCGCGUGCAGGAAGAAGGUUUCGGAUCGUAAACUGCUUUUCGUCGGGGAAGAGAACGGACGGUACCCGAGGAAUCAGCCCCGGCUAACUACGCGCCAGCAGCCGCGGU
This 474-nucleotide ribosomal RNA is filed under the name uncultured bacterium. Its description in RNAcentral is "SSU rRNA". It matches the Rfam family "Bacterial small subunit ribosomal RNA", at positions 26 to 521 of the family's 1533-position model. The record is from RNAcentral.